UACAGAGGGGGCAAGCGUUAUUCGGAAUUAUUGGGCGUAAAGGGCGCGUAGGCGGCCUGGCAAGUGAAAGGUGAAAUCCCUCGGCUUAACCGAGGAACUGCCUUUCAGACUGCUUGGCUUGAGACCGGGAGAGGUGAGUGGAAUUCCCAGUGUAGUGGUGAAAUGCGUAGAUAUUGGGAGGAACACCAGUGGCGAAGGCGGCUCACUGGACCGGUACUGACGCUGAGGCGCGAAAGCGUGGGGAGCAAACGGG
RNAcentral lists this ribosomal RNA (253 nucleotides) under uncultured bacterium. RNAcentral's name for it is "partial 16S ribosomal RNA". It matches the Rfam family "Bacterial small subunit ribosomal RNA", at positions 524 to 776 of the family's 1533-position model. The record is from RNAcentral.